GUUUGCUCCCCACGCUUUCGCGUCUCAGCGUCAGUACCGUCCCAGAGAGCCGCCUUCGCCACGGGUGUUCUUCCCGAUAUCUGCGCAUUUCACCGCUACACCGGGAAUUCCACUCUCCUCUUCCGGACUCUAGCCAGAGGGUUUCCACCGACGUCUCGAGGUUGAGCCUCGAGUUUUCACAGCGGACCUACCUAGCCGCCUACACGCGCUUUACGCCCAAUAAAUCCGGACAACGCUUGCCCCCUACGUAUUACCGCGGCUGCUGGCACGUAGUUAGCCGGGGCUUCUUCUGGAGGUACCGUCACCCUCUGGGCUAUUAACCCGAGUGGCUUCGUCCCUCCUGAAAGCGGUUUACAACCCGAAGGCCUUCUUCCCGCACGCGGCGUCGCUGCGUCAGGCUUUCGCCCAUUGCGCAAGAUUCCCCACUGCUGCCUCCCGUAGGAGUCUGGGCCGUGUCUCAGUCCCAGUGUGGCUGAUCGUCCUCUCAGACCAGCUACGGAUCGUCGCCUUGGUGGGCCGUUACCCCACCAACAAGCUAAUCCGCCGCGAGCUCGUCCUCGGCCGGAGGCCGAAGCUACCUUUUCUC
Molecule: ribosomal RNA, 586 nt
Filed under: uncultured soil bacterium
Lineage: Bacteria
Description: partial 16S ribosomal RNA
Source: RNAcentral